ACUCCAUGGUGCGGAUAUUUUCUUAAAAGUUCCAUUAAACGUUCCCAUGUUUCAUAUAAAGAACCCUUAUCCUCUUGUUGAAAAGAAUUAAUUUCAGUCAGUAGUUU
Molecule: non-coding RNA, 107 nt
Organism: Helianthus annuus (common sunflower)
Lineage: Eukaryota; Viridiplantae; Streptophyta; Magnoliopsida; Asterales; Asteraceae
Source: Rfam